Oryza rufipogon (brownbeard rice) is the source of this 186-nucleotide microRNA precursor. It matches the Rfam family "MIR812 microRNA precursor family". Lineage: Eukaryota; Viridiplantae; Streptophyta; Magnoliopsida; Poales; Poaceae. The record is from Rfam.
UGUAUCUGAAAUCAUGUCCAAAACAUCAACAAAUAGAGUACCGAGGGAGUAGUAUUUUUAUUGUUAUUAUAUUAUAAAACAUGAAUAGUACUUGAUGUGUGACUUAUGUUUUUUAGAUUUUUCAAAAAUAAUUCAAAUAAGACGAACGGUCAAAGUUCGACACGGAAACUCAUGGCUGCGCUUAUU